Molecule: ribosomal RNA, 492 nt
Filed under: uncultured bacterium
Lineage: Bacteria
Description: partial 16S ribosomal RNA
Rfam family: Bacterial small subunit ribosomal RNA
Source: RNAcentral
AGUGAACGCUGGCGGUAGGCCUAACACAUGCAAGUCGAACGGCAGCACAGUAAGAGCUUGCUCUUACGGGUGGCGAGUGGCGGACGGGUGAGGAAUACAUCGGAAUCUACUUUUUCGUGGGGGAUAACGUAGGGAAGCUUACGCUAAUACCGCAUACGACCUACGGGUGAAAGCAGGGGAUCUUCGGACCUUGCGCGAUUGAAUGAGCCGAUGUCGGAUUAGCUAGUUGGCGGGGUAAAGGCCCACCAAGGCGACGAUCCGUAGCUGGUCUGAGAGGAUGAUCAGCCACACUGGAACUGAGACACGGUCCAGACUCCUACGGGAGGCAGCAGUGGGGAAUAUUGGACAAUGGGCGCAAGCCUGAUCCAGCCGUACCGCGUGGGUGAAGAAGGCCUUCGGGCUGUAAAGCCCUUUUGUUGGGAAAGAAAAGCAGCAGGUUAAUACCCCGCUGUUCUGACGGUACCCAAAGGAUAAGCACCGGCUAACUUCGUG